GCAGUUUUCCAGAGCUCCAGCACAGCAGAGCAGGCAGCUGGAUCAUGGAUUCUUUGCCUCCCUAGUACUUUGCUGUCCUGGAUAAUGGGCUACUUUGGUGUGCCUGGUGCUGGCCCUCAUCUGACAGCCUGUGUCUCUGGGAGGGUUUUUUCUGCACCAUCUCUUCCACUGCCACAAGGCAAUCAUUUGUGUGGGACUUAUUUGGUUCAGUGUUGCCAGCCUUCCCUGUGAUAGAAGGGGUGCAGCAGGACAAGACUGGUGGGUCUCCUUGCUGGUGAAUCCAGUCCUUCAGUAAAUUCCUAAUUCCUCUCUAAAGUGCAAAGGUGUAUUGGCUGACUGAAAAGUGUUAAGUACUGUAAUAAGGGAGUAAACACAAGGAUUUUGAAAUUAAAACUGCUCAAUUUGCUGAUACUAAACAACACUGUUGCCCAGCCUGGAAGAGUAAUGAAGGUUGCUUAAUUAAUACCAGAAGACAGACAGAAAUCUCCAGCUGUGUAACUCAGGGCUGUUUCAAAGCAGAAAAUAACAGGUAUGACUACAACUUGACUGAAUGCUUUGCCUAUAUAGAGACAUGCAGUCACAGAAGAAUUCCCUUUGUCUGACUGUGUCCCUACCACCACCAGGAAUGAAGACAACAGUAUUGAUGUGUCUGAGUGUCCACUCAAAAUAUGCAGGACUGCAUGUGGGAGUUGUGAGUCCUUGUUCCUUUUUGUUUGUUCUGUUUGGGCUGUGGGAAGCCUUCUAGCCACGGAAUGUGUAUACAAUGUAGAGCUUACUUGAAAAACUUAAAGGACUAAGAUUUGCUGGUUGUGUAUUAAACACUUGUUAUGGAAGAAAUGAGCACGGGUGGUUGUUUGAACUGCAGAAAGGUAAGAAUUCACAGGGUUUUUCAUUUGAAAGCUUCCAUACAGAAGCAGGGAAAGAGAAGGCUAAUUUUGUUGAUCAAGAAAUAGCAGAG
This 958-nucleotide long non-coding RNA is filed under the name Junco hyemalis (dark-eyed junco). RNAcentral's name for it is "lncRNA (ENSJHYG00000016818.1)". The record is from RNAcentral. Lineage: Eukaryota; Metazoa; Chordata; Aves; Passeriformes; Passerellidae.